This 116-nucleotide small nucleolar RNA is filed under the name Citrus sinensis (sweet orange). RNAcentral describes it as "Plant small nucleolar RNA R71". It matches the Rfam family "Plant small nucleolar RNA R71". From Rfam's summary of the family: R71 is a member of the C/D box family of snoRNAs containing the C (UGAUGA) and D (CUGA) box motifs. The record is from Rfam by way of RNAcentral. Lineage: Eukaryota; Viridiplantae; Streptophyta; Magnoliopsida; Sapindales; Rutaceae.
AGACCAUGAUGUGGGCAUUUUCUUAGUAGGUCUUUGUAUCUUUCCCAUGCUUCAUAUAAUGAUCCCAUUUUGCUUAAAUGUGCCACAAAUUUCCAAGAAAUUUUCAAUAUGGGCAU